CAUGCAUGUCUCAGUACAAACCAAAUUAAGGUGAAACCGCAAAAGGCUCAUUAAAUCAGUUAUGGUUCCUUAGAUCGUACCCACAUUACUUGGAUAACUGUGGUAAUUCUAGAGCUAAUACAUGAAUACAGAGCUUCGACCGGAGACGGAAGAAGCGCUUUUAUUAGAUCAAAACCAAUCGGUGGCGGUUUAUUACCGUCAUCGUACAAUUUGGUGACUCUGAAUAACUUUAUGCUGAUCGCACGGUCUUGCACCGGCGACGCAUCUUUCAAAUGUCUGCCUUAUCAACUGUCGAUGGUAGGUUCUGCGCCUACCAUGGUUGUAACGGGUAACGGGGAAUCAGGGUUCGAUUCCGGAGAGGGAGCCUGAGAAACGGCUACCACAUCCAAGGAAGGCAGCAGGCGCGCAAAUUACCCACUCCCGGCACGGGGAGGUAGUGACGAAAAAUAACGAUACGGGACUCAUCCGAGGCCCCGUAAUCGGAAUGAGUACACUCUAAACCCUUUAACGAGGAUCAAUUGGAGGGCAAGUCUGGUGCCAGCAGCCGCGGUAAUUCCAGCUCCAAUAGCGUAUAUUAAAGUUGUUGCGGUUAAAAAGCUCGUAGUCGAAUCUGUGUCCCGCUCCGCCGGUUCAUCGUUCGCGGUGUUAACUGGCGUGUUGUGGGACGUCCUGUCGGUGGGCUUAGCUCGCAAGGGCGGCCCGACUCAAUCCCGCCGCGGUGCUCUUCAUUGAGUGUCGAGGUGGGCCGGCACUUUUACUUUGAACAAAUUAGAGUGCUUAAAGCAGGCUAAAAUUUCGCCUGAAUAUUGUGUGCAUGGAAUAAUGGAAUAGGACCUCGGUUCUAUUUUGUUGGUUUUCGGAACCCCGAGGUAAUGAUUAAUAGGAACGGAUGGGGGCAUUCGUAUUGCGACGUUAGAGGUGAAAUUCUUGGAUCGUCGCAAGACGGACAGAAGCGAAAGCAUUUGCCAAAAACGUUUUCAUUGAUCAAGAACGAAAGUUAGAGGUUCGAAGGCGAUCAGAUACCGCCCUAGUUCUAACCAUAAACGAUGCCAGCUAGCGAUCCGCCGACGUUCCUCCGAUGACUCGGCGGGCAGCUUCCGGGAAACCAAAGCUUUUGGGUUCCGGGGGAAGUAUGGUUGCAAAGCUGAAACUUAAAGGAAUUGACGGAAGGGCACCACCAGGAGUGGAGCCUGCGGCUUAAUUUGACUCAACACGGGAAACCUCACCAGGCCCGGACACCGGAAGGAUUGACAGAUUGAGAGCUCUUUCUUGAUUCGGUGGGUGGUGGUGCAUGGCCGUUCUUAGUUGGUGGAGCGAUUUGUCUGGUUAAUUCCGAUAACGAACGAGACUCUAGCCUGCUAAAUAGGCGUAUUUCGACAUCCUAAAGGCUCGCCUUUCUCCAGGUUCGCUUGGUGAUUGUGCGCGGUUUUUACUGUCGGCGUACAAACAAUUCUUCUUAGAGGGACAGGCGGCUUCUAGCCGCACGAGAUUGAGCAAUAACAGGUCUGUGAUGCCCUUAGAUGUUCUGGGCCGCACGCGCGCUACACUGAAGGAAUCAGCGUGUCCUCCCUGGCCGAGCGGCCCGGGUAACCCGCUGAACCUCCUUCGUGCUAGGGAUUGGGGCUUGCAAUUGUUCCCCAUGAACGAGGAAUUCCCAGUAAGCGCGAGUCAUAAGCUCGCGUUGAUUACGUCCCUGCCCUUUGUACACACCGCCCGUCGCUACUACCGAUUGAAUGAUUUAGUGAGGUCUUCGGACUGGUACGCGGUGGCGUUUCGACGUUGCCGAUGUUGCUGGGAAGAUGACCAAACUUGAUCAUUUAGAGGAAGUAAAAGUCGUAACAAGGUUUCCGU
RNAcentral lists this ribosomal RNA (1851 nucleotides) under Synchroa punctata. RNAcentral describes it as "SSU rRNA". It matches the Rfam family "Eukaryotic small subunit ribosomal RNA". The record is from RNAcentral. Lineage: Eukaryota; Metazoa; Arthropoda; Insecta; Coleoptera; Synchroidae.